CCCUUCCAGAGGGGGACGAACAGUUGGAAACGACUGCUAAUACCGCAUACGAUUCAACCUCGGCAUCGAGGAUGGAUGAAAGGUGGCCUCUAUUUAUAGGCUAUCACUGAAGGAGGGGAGUUGCGUCUGAUUAGCUAGUUGGAGGGGUAACGGGCCCACCAAGGCAAUGAUCAGUAGCCGGUCUGAGAGGAUGAACGGCCACAUUGGGACUGAGACACGGCCCAGACUCCUACGGGAGGCAGCAUG
This 246-nucleotide ribosomal RNA is filed under the name uncultured bacterium. RNAcentral's name for it is "partial 16S ribosomal RNA". It matches the Rfam family "Bacterial small subunit ribosomal RNA", at positions 128 to 353 of the family's 1533-position model. The record is from RNAcentral.